This 449-nucleotide ribosomal RNA is filed under the name uncultured bacterium. RNAcentral's name for it is "partial 16S ribosomal RNA". It matches the Rfam family "Bacterial small subunit ribosomal RNA", at positions 29 to 523 of the family's 1533-position model. The record is from RNAcentral.
AACGAACGCUGGCGGCAUGCCUAACACAUGCAAGUCGAACGAGACCUUCGGGUCUAGUGGCGCACGGGUGCGUAACGCGUGGGAAUCUGCCCUCUGGUACGGAAUAACUCAGGGAAACUUGAGCUAAUACCGUAUAAUGACUUCGGUCCAAAGAUUUAUCGCCUGAGGAUGAGCCCGCGUCGGAUUAGCUAGUUGGUGAGGUAAAGGCUCACCAAGGCGACGAUCCGUAGCUGGUCUGAGAGGAUGAUCAGCCACACUGGGACUGAGACACGGCCCAGACUCCUACGGGAGGCAGCAGUGGGGAAUAUUGGACAAUGGGCGAAAGCCUGAUCCAGCAAUGCCGCGUGAGUGAUGAAGGCCUUAGGGUUGUAAAGCUCCUUUACCCGGGGUGAUAAUGACAGUACCGGGAGAAUAAGCCCCGGCUAACUCCGUGCCAGCCGCCGCUGUAA